RNAcentral lists this ribosomal RNA (365 nucleotides) under uncultured bacterium. RNAcentral's name for it is "partial 16S ribosomal RNA". It matches the Rfam family "Bacterial small subunit ribosomal RNA", at positions 338 to 701 of the family's 1533-position model. The record is from RNAcentral.
CCUACGGGAGGCAGCAGUGAGGAAUAUUGGUCAAUGGCCGGAAGGCUGAACCAGCCAUGCCGCGUGAAGGUCAGUGCCCUUUGGGCGUUAAACUUCUUUUGUGCGGGAGCAAUAAUGGUCACGUGUGGCCAGACGAGAGUACCGUACGAAUAAGCAUCGGCAAACUCAGUGCCAGCAGUCGCGGUAAUACGUAGGGGGCAAGCGUUAUCCGGAUUUACUGGGUGUAAAGGGCGUGUAGGCGGGAGAGCACGUCAGAUGUGAAAUUCCAGGGCUCAACCCUGGAACUGCAUUUGAAACUGUUUUUCUUGAGGGAUGGAGAGGCAGGCGGAAUUCCGUGGGGAGCGGUGAAAUGCGUAGAUAUACAG